GAAAAACCAAUCAGACUUCCAUUCACUAAAACAAAUAAUAACUGGAGUAGUGGUUACACACUGUACACAACCUCGCAUCAAAGACUAAUGAAUUUCAUUUGCUAAACCCCCCAAGUUUUCUAGGAAAUCAAUGAUGGCUAAAAAAAAAUAAAAAAUACAUAGGAUGCUCAAAAAAUGCAAACUCACAACAAACAAAAAGAAUACCAAGCAACUAACUUGUAACAAUAAUAAUAAAUUAGCAUUAUGAAAACCCCCCCAAAAAAUAGCAUUGCAAAUAAAGACAGGAUCUUCAGUCCUCUCCACUUCGGAAACUUAGGGGAGCAGUAGCAGCUAAAAAUACACUGCUGCUGUCCCUCAAACAUUGUUGAAAUCAGACCCUUUGCUGCUGUAUAGGUGGUGCUAGAAAAACGGGAAGCAAAUGGAGGGGGAAAAAUAGAUAGAGAAGGCUUGUAAAAUUCUCUUUCUUCUAUCCCCAUUAUAUAGCCUGGGAGAGAGCAGGCCUCAAUGCACUCAGAACAACUGGAGUGCCAUUUUUACCUUGUUCUGUUUCCACUUGGGUAACUUGUAGAAAGCCUCCUUAACCAUCCCGAAUUUCUCUCUGAACUCUUCCGAAGACAAGUAAG
RNAcentral lists this unclassified non-coding RNA (623 nucleotides) under Hevea brasiliensis (rubber tree). The record is from RNAcentral. Lineage: Eukaryota; Viridiplantae; Streptophyta; Magnoliopsida; Malpighiales; Euphorbiaceae.